AGUGAACGCUGGCGGUAGGCCUAACACAUGCAAGUCGAACGGCAGCACAGUAAGUUCUUGCUCUUACGGGUGGCGAGUGGCGGACGGGUCAGGAAUACAACCCAACCUAUUCUUUCGUGGGGCAUAACGUAGCGAAUCUUACGCUCAUACCGCAUACUACCCCCGGGUGAAAGCAUGGGAUCUUCGGACCUUGCGCGAAUGUAUGAGCCGAUGUCGGAUUAGCUAGUUGGCGGGGUAAAGGCCCACCAAGGCGACGAUCCGUAGCUGGUCUGAGAGGAUGAUCAGCCACACUGGAACUGAGACACGGUCCAGACUCCUACGGGAGGCAGCAGUGGGGAAUAUUGGGCAAUGGGCGCAAGCCUGAUCCAGCCAUACCGCGUGGGUGAAGAAGGCCUUCGGGUUGUAAAGCCCUUUUGUUGGGGAAGAAAAGCAGCAGGUUGAUACCCCGCUGUUCUGACGGUACCCAAAGAAUAAGCACCGGCUAACUUCGUG
Molecule: ribosomal RNA, 492 nt
Filed under: uncultured bacterium
Lineage: Bacteria
Description: partial 16S ribosomal RNA
Rfam family: Bacterial small subunit ribosomal RNA
Source: RNAcentral